GGAGUCGGCCAGACAGUCGCGUCACCCUCGCGGGUGCCGAGGAAAGUCCGGGCUCCACAGGGUGCGAUGCCAGGUAACGCCUGGGCGGCGCGAGCCGACGGAAAGUGCAACAGAAAGAUACCGCCACGCGAGUGGUAAGGGUGAAAUGGUGCGGUAAGAGCGCACCGCGAGCCGGGCAACCGGCCGGCACGGCAAACCCCAUCGGGAGCAAGACCAAAUAGGGAGUCAUGGCGUGACCCGCGUCGGCUCCGGGUAGGUUGCUGGAGCCCCGCAGCGAUGCGGGGCCGAGAGGAAUGACUGUCCACGACAGAACCCGGCUUACCGGCCGGCUCCGCCA
This 337-nucleotide RNase P RNA is filed under the name Solilutibacter pythonis. RNAcentral describes it as "Lysobacter pythonis Bacterial RNase P class A". It matches the Rfam family "Bacterial RNase P class A". From Rfam's summary of the family: Ribonuclease P (RNase P) is a ubiquitous endoribonuclease, found in archaea, bacteria and eukarya as well as chloroplasts and mitochondria. Its best characterised activity is the generation of mature 5'-ends of tRNAs by cleaving the 5'-leader elements of precursor-tRNAs. The record is from Rfam by way of RNAcentral. Lineage: Bacteria; Pseudomonadati; Pseudomonadota; Gammaproteobacteria; Lysobacterales; Lysobacteraceae.